RNAcentral lists this long non-coding RNA (719 nucleotides) under Heterocephalus glaber (naked mole-rat). RNAcentral describes it as "lncRNA (ENSHGLG00100044856.1)". The record is from RNAcentral. Lineage: Eukaryota; Metazoa; Chordata; Mammalia; Rodentia; Bathyergidae.
UGUGUCUGGUUACGGGUUCCCUAGAAGGAGACGUCUUUGUGUGGAACCCAGCCCUGGACUGUUUACCUCACAAACGGUGCUACCACAGCCUUGGGUGCUCCUGCAGGCAAAGCGCAGAGCAUCCUGGGAAAUGUAGUUCCCAUCCGCCUUAUAACUCAGGGGGCCCUUUGUCUCUUCCAGUGGGAGCCUGUGUUGCCUGCUGUGGCCUUGACUGCCUGGGCUCAACCAGUCCUGCCUCAGCCUGCAGAGUAGCCCGGACCUCGGGCGCACUUCACCAAACCCACAGGCCCUGCUUUGGGCGCAGAGCCGGCACCUGGCCUGCCAGGACGUGGCUCUGGCUCUCGAGCCAUCUGGAGGGCAGCGCAGUUCCUAGGGUUGCACGGCACCGAGCAGGUGUUACGGUUGAGGCAGUGGAGGGGGAAAGAGCACCCGGGCUGCUGCGAAUGCCCCAAAGGCUGUGGGGGUAAAUGUGAGGUGGAGACCGGAGUGCUGGACCCUGAGCCGGACGCCGCAAUGGGGAAUGACACUGCUGCAUCGCUGCUGUUAUAAAUACCUGCAGGGAGAAAUGCCAGGAGAACUCACUGUUUGCCAGGCACCAUCCUACAUCCUGAAUACAUUAUUCAAGAUCUGUGGCCUCUGCCUUCAAGAAGCUUAGUGAGAGUCCCACCGGCGGUGAGCAAAUGAGAGGCGCGGGAGCAGCACGGGCAGAGGGAGGGCGG